RNAcentral lists this ribosomal RNA (643 nucleotides) under Trichoderma harzianum. Its description in RNAcentral is "eukaryotic LSU rRNA". The stretch from base 257 to 410 matches the Rfam family "5.8S ribosomal RNA". The record is from RNAcentral. Lineage: Eukaryota; Fungi; Ascomycota; Sordariomycetes; Hypocreales; Hypocreaceae.
CGAAGUAAAAGUCGUAACAAGGUCUCCGUUGGUGAACCAGCGGAGGGAUCAUUACCGAGUUUACAACUCCCAAACCCAAUGUGAACGUUACCAAACUGUUGCCUCGGCGGGAUCUCUGCCCCGGGUGCGUCGCAGCCCCGGACCAAGGCGCCCGCCGGAGGACCAACCAAAACUCUUAUUGUAUACCCCCUCGCGGGUUUUUUUUAUAAUCUGAGCCUUCUCGGCGCCUCUCGUAGGCGUUUCGAAAAUGAAUCAAAACUUUCAACAACGGAUCUCUUGGUUCUGGCAUCGAUGAAGAACGCAGCGAAAUGCGAUAAGUAAUGUGAAUUGCAGAAUUCAGUGAAUCAUCGAAUCUUUGAACGCACAUUGCGCCCGCCAGUAUUCUGGCGGGCAUGCCUGUCCGAGCGUCAUUUCAACCCUCGAACCCCUCCGGGGGGUCGGCGUUGGGGAUCGGCCCUGCCUUGGCGGUGGCCGUCUCCGAAAUACAGUGGCGGUCUCGCCGCAGCCUCUCCUGCGCAGUAGUUUGCACACUCGCAUCGGGAGCGCGGCGCGUCCACAGCCGUUAAACACCCAACUUCUGAAAUGUUGACCUCGGAUCAGGUAGGAAUACCCGCUGAACUUAAGCAUAUCAAUAAGCGGAGGA